UGCAUUUUUGUGCUCUGGACGAU
This 23-nucleotide non-coding RNA is filed under the name Rattus norvegicus (Norway rat). Lineage: Eukaryota; Metazoa; Chordata; Mammalia; Rodentia; Muridae. The record is from RNAcentral.